RNAcentral lists this ribosomal RNA (511 nucleotides) under uncultured eukaryote. Its description in RNAcentral is "SSU rRNA". It matches the Rfam family "Eukaryotic small subunit ribosomal RNA", at positions 21 to 534 of the family's 1831-position model. The record is from RNAcentral.
UAGUCAUACGCUUGUCUCAAAGAUUAAGCCAUGCAUGUCUAAGUAUAAAUCUUUAUACGGUGAAACUGCGAAUGGCUCAUUAUAUCAGUUAUAGUUUAUUUGAUAGUCCCCUACUACUUGGAUAACCGUAGUAAUUUUAGAGCUAAUACAUGCGUCAAGGCCCAACUGCUUUGGCGGGCGGGCUGUAUUUAUUAGAGUUGAACCAACCGCCUUCGGGUGUUUUUUGGUGAAUCAUGAUAACUUUGCGAAUCGUAUGCUUUGGCGACGAUGAAUCAUUCAAGUUUUUGCCCUAUCAAGUGGCGAUGGUAGGGUAUUGGCCUACCAUGCUAGUGACGGGUGACGGAGAAUUAGGGUUUGAUUCCGGAGAGGGAGCCUGAGAGACGGCUACCACAUUUAAGGAAGGCAGCAGGCGCGUAAAUUAACCAAUCCUGACCCGGGGAGGUAGUGACAAUAAAUAACAAUACGGGGCUUUUCAAGUUUUGUAAUUGGAAUUUAAAGGGUUUAAAUCCCU